GCCCCUAUCGUAUAACGGUUUAGUACAGCGGUCUCAUAUGAUUUGAGGGUACCCAAGGUACCCAGCGAUCCGCAAAUCUGAGUUCGAUUCUCAGUGGAGGCA
Oleoguttula sp. CCFEE 5521 is the source of this 102-nucleotide non-coding RNA. NCBI's taxonomy places the organism in Eukaryota, Fungi, Ascomycota, Dothideomycetes, Mycosphaerellales, Teratosphaeriaceae. The record is from the annotation of a GenBank genome assembly.